Molecule: ribosomal RNA, 243 nt
Filed under: uncultured bacterium
Lineage: Bacteria
Description: partial 16S ribosomal RNA
Rfam family: Bacterial small subunit ribosomal RNA
Source: RNAcentral
AGCGAACGCUGGCGGCAGGCUUAACACAUGCAAGUCGAGCGGGCGUAGCAAUACGUCAGCGGCAGACGGGUGAGUAACACGUGGGAACGUACCUUUUGGUUCGAACAACACAGGGAAACUUGUGCUAAUACCGAAUAAGCCCUUACGGGGAAAGAUUUAUCGCCGAAAGAUCGGCCCGCGUCUGAUUAGCUUGUUGGUGAGGUAACGGCUCACCAAGGCGACGAUCAGUAGCUGGGUCNGAGA